CAGAUGUUGAAACUAAGAGAGAUAUUGGGCAAGCUGGUGGCGGGUGGAGACCCUCUGGUCCGGAGAAAGCUUCAUCCAAGCAUCUUCUAGUGAUCGGCCUAGUACAUAUUCCAUCACAAUGUAUAUUCGUGUUGGCAGCGAUAUAUAGCAUGCUGUCGCUUUCUCGGCAACCCUCAUGCGCUUGCUUCCGGACCCGGUGCUCGUUCAAAUGGAUAACCUGUUAUCACAUGAAGAGGGUGAAUCACCGAACACCACAAACAUGAGGAGCAAGCAGCAUGCUUUUGGGAGUGAAGGGGUCCAUUGUAAAAAUAAAUUGCCCGGAUGGUAGCGGAAUAAUCAGGAGAAAGGGGACGAAAGAAGGUUAAUGGAAGCCGAGUUCUUGAGUGGAAAAAAUCAAGGAUCUUAAAACAAUCCAGCAAGCAGUUUUGGACAGUGUUCCGGAGCUGUGUCUUUCGUGUCCUAGUUUAUUCCGAAUUGUGACUUCCGCCGUUUUCGCGUUGACGAUCAACUAUGGGUUUCCUUUGGGGGGGGAGAGUGUUGCGGGCCCGACUAUUCUGAGUGGCAAGUCCAUCACAGCCGAAGGUUAUCAAACUAAUGAUCCUUCUACGUUGUGGGCGAAAUUCAUCACAUUUAUUCGCGUCUUGGAGGUUGAAGCAGAGGUUUUGGAGCGUCAUCCUCCAGGCUCUCAGGCAUAUGGUUGUUCAAGAAACAUGUUAGCUUCAAUCUUCAACCUACUACUCCGUAGUUACUCCGUAGUAUGACACGAGUCGACCCGCAUGGCAUCAACGACUCAUUUUCAGUCCGUGCUCAAGGUUUUUAUCCUAGUGGCUCAACCCCACCGCCACAUAUUUGGUUCUGGUUUUCCACAUUGCUAGACGAACGCUAUGAGCAAUAUAAAGAGAAGAGACAU
This 910-nucleotide small RNA is filed under the name Histoplasma capsulatum var. duboisii H88. RNAcentral describes it as "Histoplasma capsulatum H88 hypothetical RNA". Lineage: Eukaryota; Fungi; Ascomycota; Eurotiomycetes; Onygenales; Ajellomycetaceae. The record is from RNAcentral.